RNAcentral lists this ribosomal RNA (1354 nucleotides) under Bacillus cereus. RNAcentral's name for it is "bacterial LSU rRNA". It matches the Rfam family "Bacterial large subunit ribosomal RNA", at positions 1559 to 2925 of the family's 2925-position model. Lineage: Bacteria; Bacillati; Bacillota; Bacilli; Caryophanales; Bacillaceae. The record is from RNAcentral.
AGCUGUGAUGGGGAAGCUCCUUAUGGAGCGAAGUCUUUGAUUCCCCGCUGCCAAGAAAAGCUUCUAGCGAGAUAAAAGGUGCCUGUACCGCAAACCGACACAGGUAGGCGAGGAGAGAAUCCUAAGGUGUGCGAGAGAACUCUGGUUAAGGAACUCGGCAAAAUGACCCCGUAACUUCGGGAGAAGGGGUGCUUUCUUAACGGAAAGCCGCAGUGAAUAGGCCCAAGCGACUGUUUAGCAAAAACACAGCUCUCUGCGAAGCCGUAAGGCGAAGUAUAGGGGGUGACACCUGCCCGGUGCUGGAAGGUUAAGGAGAGGGGUUAGCGUAAGCGAAGCUCUGAACUGAAGCCCCAGUAAACGGCGGCCGUAACUAUAACGGUCCUAAGGUAGCGAAAUUCCUUGUCGGGUAAGUUCCGACCCGCACGAAAGGUGUAACGAUUUGGGCACUGUCUCAACCAGAGACUCGGUGAAAUUAUAGUACCUGUGAAGAUGCAGGUUACCCGCGACAGGACGGAAAGACCCCGUGGAGCUUUACUGUAGCCUGAUAUUGAAUUUUGGUACAGUUUGUACAGGAUAGGCGGGAGCCUUUGAAACCGGAGCGCUAGCUUCGGUGGAGGCGCUGGUGGGAUACCGCCCUGACUGUAUUGAAAUUCUAACCUACGGGUCUUAUCGACCCGGGAGACAGUGUCAGGUGGGCAGUUUGACUGGGGCGGUCGCCUCCUAAAGUGUAACGGAGGCGCCCAAAGGUUCCCUCAGAAUGGUUGGAAAUCAUUCGUAGAGUGCAAAGGCAUAAGGGAGCUUGACUGCGAGACCUACAAGUCGAGCAGGGACGAAAGUCGGGCUUAGUGAUCCGGUGGUUCCGCAUGGAAGGGCCAUCGCUCAACGGAUAAAAGCUACCCCGGGGAUAACAGGCUUAUCUCCCCCAAGAGUCCACAUCGACGGGGAGGUUUGGCACCUCGAUGUCGGCUCAUCGCAUCCUGGGGCUGUAGUCGGUCCCAAGGGUUGGGCUGUUCGCCCAUUAAAGCGGUACGCGAGCUGGGUUCAGAACGUCGUGAGACAGUUCGGUCCCUAUCCGUCGUGGGCGUAGGAAAUUUGAGAGGAGCUGUCCUUAGUACGAGAGGACCGGGAUGGACGCACCGCUGGUGUACCAGUUGUUCUGCCAAGGGCAUAGCUGGGUAGCUAUGUGCGGAAGGGAUAAGUGCUGAAAGCAUCUAAGCAUGAAGCCCCCCUCAAGAUGAGAUUUCCCAUAGCGUAAGCUAGUAAGAUCCCUGAAAGAUGAUCAGGUUGAUAGGUUCGAGGUGGAAGCAUGGUGACAUGUGGAGCUGACGAAUACUAAUAGAUCGAGGACUUAACC